GGUGAGGCACUCAGAUGCUAUGGGGAUGGGGGGGGCAUAUAAGUACCUACGAUACCUACUUAGGACAUCAGCUAAAGUGUUAUUUUUACACAAGCAAAGAUCUGUGGAAUCACAGAAAGGCCUUGUCCUCAUUAGGGAGCUGUAACAAAAAAUCUCAACCAAAUCAGCUAUAGGUACAAUUAGUAUGGUGAUAAACAUGCUGGAAGCCACCAGAGCCCAGCUUACUAAUGCUAUCACUGGUGCAACUGAAUCAGUGGGAGUGUCCGUGGAAAUUGCAGACAAGGCCACUUGGCAAAUUCUGCUCUGAGUUACACUGGUGUGACUUCAGCUGAGUUACACUGAAUUUACACCAAUGUAACUGGCAGCAGAGUUUGUCCCCAGAAGAAUGGUUCUAAUGCUUGGUAUUGUCAUAGCCAAUAACCCACAUUCCCCUCAAGCUCAAUCUUGACUAGACAGUGAUGUUUGUGCUUUUUCUUUCUGUGUCACUACUCGGACUGUCAAGUAUUUGUGAAAAUGAAGAGUUGGGAAGAGGGUUUAUGGAAGGAGAUUAUCAAGCACCGUAAAAUGCUACUUUGUGUCUGUUUUACAGAAGCAGGCCCUGGCAAUGCAGUUUCACAACAAAGAUGAUAUUAUGCUUCAUGUACUUGCUUUGGAUAUCAGUGCCAGUGAUCCAAACCACACCCAUUGCACUGAGUCCAAAGAUGGUCUCAGUGUUACAGGAUAAAACAGUGAGAGCAGUCUGUGUGCAGAACAUCGAAGAAACAGAAGGGUUGGCUAUAACUCUGAGAAGACACAGCAGCUCUGCUGAGCUGUGUAACAUACAGCUUGGAAAUUUCACCAUUUGGCGCAGAAAUUGCACAAACCAUAUAAACCUAGACUACAAUAAGCCGACAACAGGGGUUUGUGGUGUUAUGGAGAGAGUCUCUGUCAAAGGUUCUGGUGUUUACAGCUGCACCUUGGACAAGACAAUCCCUCCUCCUGUGAGAACGCUGAGCCAGUCUCACAUUUGCCUCACAGUGUCAGCUCUUCCAGUGGUUGAGGUUUCUUUGGCCUCUUCUUCACCCAUUGACAAGGAGACCACGUUAACUUGCAGUGCUUGGGACUUCUAUCCUGGAGACAUCCAGCUCUCCUGGAAUAAGGACAGCCAGUUGUUCACUAACUCAACAAGGAAUGACUCUCUGUUCCACAAUAGCAACGGGUCUUAUUCCUAUAGAAGUAACCUUGUUGUUUCCAAAGAUGACUGGAAUGAAUUUGCCCAGUUUUCCUGCCAAGUGAAUCACUCUACACUGAAAAUGCCUGUUGUGAAAAAGCUCACCCUGACCCAGUCUGGUAAAGGUAAAUGUGUAUUGUGCAUUAUGACCUUCUUAGGUGGUACAAUCUACUCACUACGGUCACCUGUAUCCAACAGAAAAUAUGGGUGUAAGAUAAAAAACAUGAUAUCAAAAUGUUCAGCUUGUUUUCUAUUUUGGCUUCAGUACCUUGUUUUAAAGACUCGUACAGAUCACCAUUGGGUCUUUUCUUGUGGGAAUCCUGACUGAGAAUAUGAAGCAGUACACAGUGCAGAAUAGCUCAGAGAUACAGAAAGGUUAUUGUUGAACUGAUCAAUGAAAUUGUUUUUAAUUGUUCACUUUAUUAAUAUAACUUCAUAAUCAAAGUUUUAUGAAUGAAACAACAUUCAUUCAUAA
Chelonia mydas (Green sea turtle) is the source of this 1685-nucleotide non-coding RNA. NCBI's taxonomy places the organism in Eukaryota, Metazoa, Chordata, Testudines, Cheloniidae. The record is from the annotation of a RefSeq genome assembly.